GUGCAAGCCGUUCAGCGAGGCUGAGCCUGUGUGGCACUGUCCUUUCCUUGAGUGCUUGCUAGAGUGACAAUGGGGUGGUUUGAGGCCUUGGCAUGCCUGAUCCUUGACAAGGUUAUAGGUAAACCUCAGACAACA
Molecule: small nucleolar RNA, 135 nt
Organism: Acipenser ruthenus (sterlet)
Lineage: Eukaryota; Metazoa; Chordata; Actinopteri; Acipenseriformes; Acipenseridae
Product: small nucleolar RNA SNORA9
Exons: 1
Source: RefSeq, a predicted model, not a curated record